GAAAGUGUUGUUUUAUUGUCGUAGUGAUAUGGAAUUAUGUUUAUGGGGAUUUGAAGGAGUGUUAAUGGAAGGUUAGAGAUGAGUUUUUGGAAGAAGGUUGGUGAGGUUGUAGUUUUGAUGUAGCGUUGUUUGGUUGACGAUGAUGGUGUUUAUAUUUGUGGAGAAGGGAUGAUGAAGGUUUGUUGGAGGUUAAGGAUGGUAUCAAUGGUUUUGUAUUUUUUUCUGACAAAUAGAACACAUAGGGAGGGAAAG
This 252-nucleotide long non-coding RNA is filed under the name Lathyrus oleraceus (garden pea). RNAcentral's name for it is "Pisum sativum (pea) long non-coding RNA (PSAT_LNC027343)". Lineage: Eukaryota; Viridiplantae; Streptophyta; Magnoliopsida; Fabales; Fabaceae. The record is from RNAcentral.